This is a long non-coding RNA of Maniola jurtina (meadow brown), 549 nucleotides long. RefSeq lists it as uncharacterized. NCBI's taxonomy places the organism in Eukaryota, Metazoa, Arthropoda, Insecta, Lepidoptera, Nymphalidae. The transcript has 3 exons. The record is from RefSeq and is a predicted model, not a curated record.
CGUAAAGAUUACUUUAAUACUUAAACCAUUCAAAUAUUGGAAAUCAGAUACCAUCUAUAUGUAAAUUAUACUUAGUUAAUUAGUGAAAUCCAGUUAUGGCAAUAAUUAUCUUUUAUGGUAUAUUCCCACAGAACAAAUCUCGUUUAAAACUAUGCUUAUAAUCUGGCAAUUAAACAUGAUAGUAAACAAAAAUUAAUUGCAUGGUAAUGUUAAUAUUGGUAUCGGUUACAUAAAAAUAAAACAACAGUAGGUACAUUAAUUACACAAUCAAUUAGCAUAAUAAAUUGGAUAUGGAAAGUAACCACCAACGGACCGAAAUUAAAUUACUGGUAUUAACGUAAUUCGAUGAAAUUGUAAUAAGCGCAUGCUUUUUGAUCCCCGGAUAAAUUGUGAAAGGCGGAUGGCGCCUGGCUGGACAUUGUCCUGAUAUAGGUAAAUCUUACUGGAAGGGAUAAAAUGUUGUCAAUUUUCAUUUUUUCUGUACGAGUAUUUGACAAGCUUUCGUCAGCUUGUCAAAAAACAUCGCGAGGAAACCUGCAUGCCUGAGCC